ACCUAGUGAUGUGGGCAUGUAUGGAGUAGGUCCCUAAAGUGCUCCCAAGUCUCGAAAAAGAGUUCCCCAUCCAUCUGUGAGAAAAUUAUGAUGGCUCUCUGAAGCU
This is a small nucleolar RNA of Malania oleifera, 106 nucleotides long. NCBI's taxonomy places the organism in Eukaryota, Viridiplantae, Streptophyta, Magnoliopsida, Santalales, Ximeniaceae. The record is from RefSeq and is a predicted model, not a curated record.